GGGGAUUUAGCUCAGUGGCAUAAGCACCUGCCUUGCAAGCAGGCAGUCAGUGAGUUCAAUCCCCG
Molecule: transfer RNA, 65 nt
Organism: Cavia porcellus (domestic guinea pig)
Lineage: Eukaryota; Metazoa; Chordata; Mammalia; Rodentia; Caviidae
Rfam family: tRNA
About the family: Transfer RNA (tRNA) molecules are approximately 80 nucleotides in length.
Source: Rfam